Molecule: small nucleolar RNA, 132 nt
Organism: Xenopus tropicalis (tropical clawed frog)
Lineage: Eukaryota; Metazoa; Chordata; Amphibia; Anura; Pipidae
Source: Ensembl
CCCGAGACUAGAGUCACAUCCUGACAUUCCUUAUUGUUUUGGUGUGCUAGAGUUCUCGGAGAGAAAUUACUGAUCUUUAUUCACUGAUUGGUUCUCUAUGUAGCUCAAUCAGUCACCGGUUCAGUGACAUGU